This 390-nucleotide ribosomal RNA is filed under the name uncultured bacterium. RNAcentral's name for it is "bacterial SSU rRNA". It matches the Rfam family "Bacterial small subunit ribosomal RNA", at positions 28 to 419 of the family's 1533-position model. The record is from RNAcentral.
GACGAACGCUGGCGGCGUGCUUAACACAUGCAAGUCGAGCGGUAAGGCCCUUUCGGGGGUACACGAGCGGCGAACGGGUGAGUAACACGUGGGUGACCUGCCCUCAGCUCUGGGAUAAGCCUGGGAAACCGGGUCUAAUACUGGAUAUGACUCCAUGACGCAUGUUGUGGGGUGGAAAGCCUUGUGCGGCUGAGGAUGGGCCCGCGGCCUACCAGCUUGUUGGUGGGGUGAUGGCCUACCAAGGCGACGACGGGUAGCCGGCCUGAGAGGGCGACCGGCCACACUGGGACUGAGACACGGCCCAGACUCCUACGGGAGGCAGCAGUGGGGAAUCUUGCGCAAUGGGCGAAAGCCUGACGCAGCGACGCCGCGUGAGGGAUGACGGCCUGU